Prolemur simus (greater bamboo lemur) is the source of this 104-nucleotide small nucleolar RNA. Lineage: Eukaryota; Metazoa; Chordata; Mammalia; Primates; Lemuridae. The record is from Ensembl.
AUCCUUUUGUAGUUCAUAAGCAUGAUGAUUAGGUUUUCAUGCACAUGUGUGAGAUAUGCCUCCUUCGAUCCUUGUUAUGACAUUGGCACAUUACCCGUCUGACG